AAAAUAUUGAGUAAAAUCUGAUCUUUACAAUCAUCCAAAGAAAUUUAUUUAAAAUCUUAAUAUUUUGAAUGCUAUGACGUCACGUCCGGGCAGGCGUAGAGUCUUCCCAGCGUCUGUCUUGUGAGGUUAAUACUCCGGCAGAAUGCGCGCCAAGUGGAGGAAGAAGCGUAUGCGCAGGCUUAAGAGAAAGCGCAGGAAGAUGCGUGCGAGGUCAAAGUAGACUCCUUCCUUUAACCCCCCCAAGAUAUACCACAACACGGUGAUUUAUGGCUACCAUCGUCUUUAAAGUUUUAAUAAAUACUGUGAAGGGG
Long non-coding RNA from Homarus americanus (American lobster), 311 nucleotides. RefSeq lists it as uncharacterized. NCBI's taxonomy places the organism in Eukaryota, Metazoa, Arthropoda, Malacostraca, Decapoda, Nephropidae. The record is from RefSeq and is a predicted model, not a curated record. The transcript has 4 exons.